UACAGAGACUGCAAGCGUUAUUCGGAUUCACUGGGCGUAAAGGGUGCGCAGGCGGCCAAGUGUGUGAGGCGUGAAAGCCUGGGGCUUAACUCCAGAAUUGCACCUCAAACUACAUGGCUAGAGCAUUGGAGAGGGUAGCAGAAUUCACGGUGUAGCAGUGAAAUGCGUAGAUAUCGUGAGGAAUACCAGAGGCGAAGGCGGCUAACUGGACAAUUGCUGACGCUCAGGCACGAAAGCGUGGGGAGCAAACAGG
RNAcentral lists this ribosomal RNA (253 nucleotides) under uncultured bacterium. RNAcentral describes it as "partial 16S ribosomal RNA". It matches the Rfam family "Bacterial small subunit ribosomal RNA", at positions 524 to 776 of the family's 1533-position model. The record is from RNAcentral.